RNA transcript from Pelobates fuscus (common spadefoot toad), 3736 nucleotides. It is a transcript of the gene named transmembrane protein 138, with no coding region annotated. NCBI's taxonomy places the organism in Eukaryota, Metazoa, Chordata, Amphibia, Anura, Pelobatidae. The record is from RefSeq and is a predicted model, not a curated record. The transcript is spliced from 6 exons.
CAUUCCAUGAUCACGUGACCGGUCGGUGCGUUGUUGCCAUGGCGCCUGAAACCACGAAAACUCUAUGGUGAUACCGGAAGCACCGAGAUUACUGGAUGGGAGUGGGAAUCCGUUCGGUUUGAGGAUCACUAUUAGUAAAGGAUGCUACAGCCUGGUAAUUACAGCCUGGUGCUCUCACUGCAGUUCCUGUUGCUGCUCUUCGAUCUCUUUGUCAAUUCUUUUUCAGAACUCCUGCGCUCAGCCCCGGUCAUACAGCUGGUUCUCUUUAUAUUGCAGGAUGUGGGCACACUGUUUGCAGCAAUUGUCCUGUUUCUUAUGCUCUUUAACACGUUCGUGUUCCAAACCGGACUUCUCAACCUCCUCUGUCAACGUUUCCAAGUCACAGUCUUUCUGUGUGCUCUUCACUUAGCUCUCAGCAUAUCACUACAUGUUUGGAUUAUGAAUUUGCGCUGGAAUACUGUAAACUAUUUUAUUUGGUCUGAUGGACUACAGGCUUUAUUUGUGCUUCAGCGAUUUGUGGCUGUAUUGUAUUUUUACUUCUACAAGAGGACCGCUCUGAGUCUUGGAGACUCACGCUUCUACCAUGACUCUCUCUGGCUGCGCAAGGAGUUUGCUCAAGUGCGUGGAUAAAACUAUACCUCUUAGAAGGAGAACAUAGUGUGUGCUUAUCCUUGAAGAGGUAGUGAUAAACAUUUGCACUGAAAAAAAACCCCCACCAACUUGAACAUGGUUCCCACACAUGAACCUGUUGUAUUAACACAGAAAUGUAUCUCUCUCUCUUGUGGAUGUUUUGUGUCAAAUGUGAUGUCAUAACAAUGUGUUACUGAACUGUUCUAACCAACAAAACAGACGUCCCACAUGGAGUAGGACACUGGUAGUCAGAAAUGUCCAUGCAACAGCCAUGUGAGUACAUGUUAGGGAAACGUAUGGUAUCCUAAACAGGGCGAAUAGGGAGAUAUUACCUAUAUUAUUGUAAAAUAAUUUUUACUGAUUAUAUUUUGUUACGUUUUAGGUGCAUUUAUAUAUAUAUGUGUUAACAUACAAGUCCAGCAGUGACCUGUACGUGUUCACUCAGUCAGAAGCCACUUACCUUACCAAGGUUACCUUGCUUUGUCUGGCUUCCUGCAUGUUCACAAUGCAUCAAUGGCAGCCGCUUACUACUAGGAGAACAAACUGGGCAGUACAAGGGACAUUUGUUCGGGUAAUUGCUACUUCAACCAAGGAUCACUUAAAAUGGCCGCCCACGAGCGCAAACAGAUCAUCACAAGAAUUCUAUGGUAUUAUGUGCGUACAUGCUAGAAACCCAGAACAUCUCAACUAAUUAUUUGGGGAAUAAAUAACAAUAAAUUACAUUUUGACAUUGGGUAUAUCCUCUUCAUAUUUAAGCAGAUUUAUGUUAAGAAAAUUUGGUCAGUUUCCCUUUAUCUAUUACUAAAAAGGUCCAUAUACAUUUUUUAUUUUUUUUUUCCAUUCUCUUCAAUGCGUGAUUAGAUAGAUAUACAUACUUGUCUGGGUAUGCCACAACAGCAUAUGCAUGAAAUAUAGUAAGAUAACCGUACUCCAAACAUUUUGCGAUUUAAACUAAAACAAACCAUGCACACUUUCGGUUAAUGGGCUAGUUCGUUAUAACGAGUCGAACGCCUUUACCAUGAGUGUGUGUGGAGGCUAAGGAGAGCGGUGCAAUGGUUCAACACCUGGGUGGUAGUGUGUCACUAGUACAGGGUUUGGGCUUGUAAGCCACCUGUCCCUUUGAGUAGUCUAUUCGAUUGUGUCGUGGUGUAAGGGCUGGGUGUUAUGAAGUAGUCUAUUUGGAGGUGGGGUUUGAUGUGGGGCAUGGGCGUCUAUGUAUAUACAAGGUUUAGCCCGAUAUGGCUGCUUAGUGCGUCUGUGAUUUCCAUAAGCUAGUGGUAUAGCGGGGCUCCAUAGUUUACUAUGCCCUUUGACCGCAUUGUGGGGGCGGUUGUGAUCAGAGCGUGGGAUUGCCAUAACAAGAGCGGUAACAUAUUAAGCGACAAAUGAGGUUGAGUAACUUGGCAUAUUAAAUAAAUCACAAUUAUUAUAGCUUGUUGGCAUUGUUUUGAAUUCAAGUUGCGGGGUGUUGUGUCUCCCCUGACUCAGAGGUGUGGGUCUCCUCGGAGGUUCCUGGGUGUGAGUUGUAUAGUCCCUGUGAUGUGAGGCCCAACGCUGUCAAAAAGGCUGGGCCGUCUGUCGGGUCAGAGACCUUGUAGGUCUUCCCGUCUUUAGUGACCAGCAACGUUCGGGGGGGUCAACCAUCUGUAGGCCAUACCUGCAGUUUGGAGGGGUAUGGUGAUGUGUCGCAUUUAUUUUCGCCACAGUAGGGUGGCUCUGCUCACAUCUUGAAAGAUUGAGAUAUGGCUGGAUUCGAACUGGUACGGUGUCAUUCGUUUUAGGGCGGUCAGUAGGCCCAUUUUGUCCGUUAGUGUGUGGCAUCACAAAAUUAUGUCACGUGGCGCUGUUGUGGGGGCCUUCAAAGAUUUGGUUAUUCGGUAGACCCCGUCAGAAGAGAAGUGUUUAGCCUGCCGUGCCGGUAUGAGGGUGGACACCAGUCUUCUGAUAAAGUGUGGGAGUUCGUCUAGGGAGACGGUUUCAGGGACUCCCCUUAGUUUAAUAUUUUUCCUUCUGCCCCUGUCGUCAAAGAUAUUAACUUGGGUGAGGAUGGUGCUCUGUGAUGCUUGUAGCUGUUGCAUUUACUCGGUUACCUUGUUUUAAGGUAAGUAUGUCCUCUUUGUUGGUGUGGGUGCGUGCCGUCACAGUUUUUAACUCUGUUUUGAGGGUGUCUAGGUCUGCUUCCCACAUCUGCCUGAGAUUGUGUUGAAGAGUGGCCAGCAUUUUGUGUAUGUCCUCUUUGGUAGCAGGUGCUGUUGCCUCUGAUCUGUUUGGGCUGGAGCACUCUGCCUCAGUGGGGGCGUGGUCAUGGGGAGCUUCUCCCUCCUCUGCUUGUCGGGCACUGGCCGUGGCAGCUGGUGGUGUUUGCAGCAUCUGGCCUAUGUCCCUUUGCGUCUUGGGAGUGUUUGCCGUCGGUUUGUAAGAUUUGCGCUCCAUCUCUUCAGCGGGUGAGUCCGAGGUCGGGUCUGUCAGGCCCAGGUCGAUCCACACUUGGGAAGCCCAGUCAGCCUUGAGUUGGCAGCCUCCCACGCAGUAGGCCUUAGGACCGCGGCUGCAGUUUUUUUUGUUUGCGGCUUGAAAGAAAGGCAUUGGCUGAUGCAGUACGAUGCCCUCUGUUGCUUUUCGGUCUGUCCGCAGGUGGUACUGGCUCUGUUCGCCUGGGAUUUGGUGUUUUGCAGCCCGGUUCGUCAGAGCUGAGAGAUAUGGCGACUGCUCCGGUUCGCUCACAGGCUCCGCCCCCCGGUCCCUAUAUAUUUUAAUAAAACCCGAUAAGAACAUUACAUUUUGCAGUGUGAUGCACAUAGUAUAAUAUGCUACACAUUUUUAAUGUAUUAAACCAGAUUUUCAUAAUGAUUUCUGCAGAUAUUAGAAAACGAUCAUGUAGAAAAGAAUGCCUUCAACCUGAUUUGUUUGUAAAACCCCUCUGUAUUACUAGGAUGACUGCAAGUCUAUGCAAUUCUGUCUAGCUUUUAGUUACACGCUUUGUAUUUGUAGCAGAAAGGUGUUUGUCUCAUAUGUUUGCAAAUCAACAAACUCUAGUAACAUUUAUUUUGAACCAAUGUAACAGGUAUUCUGACUAGUUUGUAUACUUGCUGUGUCCUCAUUUAAA